AUGCUAAGUGUGGGGAUGGGUGUUUCCACUUUUUUUUUUCCAAAAAAAACUACUACUUCUACUUUCUACUUUGUUCUUCACUACUUCUACUUCUCCUACUUCCCUACUUCUCCUACUUCCCUACUUCUCCUACUUCAUUACUUCUCCUUCACUACUUUUCUACUUCACUACUUCACCACUUCUUCUACUUCACUACUUCAAUUCUUCUUCUACUUCUUCUACUUCUACUUCACUACUUCAAUUCUUCUACUUCUACUUCACUACUUCUACUCCACUACUUCAAUUCUUCUUCUACUUCUACUUCUUCUACUUCUACUUUACUACUUCUACUUCACUACUUCUUCUACUUCACUACUUCUUCUACUCCACUACUUCAAUUCUUCUUCUACUUCUANAAACAAACUACUACUUCUACUUUGUUCUUCACUACUUCUACUUCUCCUACUUCACUACUUCUCCUUCACUACUUCUCCUACUUCACUACUUCUCCUUCACUACUUUUCUACUUCACUACUUCUCUACUUCUUCUACUUCACUACUUCUACUUUGACUUCACUACUUCUUCUACUUCACUACUUCAAUUCUUCUUCUACUUCUACUUCACUACUUCUUCUACUUCACUACUUCAAUUCUUCUUCUCCUACUUCUACUUCUUCUACUUCACUACUUCAAUUCUUCUUCUACUUCUACUUCACUACUUCUUGUACUUCACUACUUCAAUUCUUCUACUUCUUCUACUUCUACUUCACUACUUCUACUUCACUACUUCUUCUACUCCACUACUUCAAUUCUUCUUCUACUUCUACUUCUUCUACUUCACUACUUCAAUUCUUCUUCUCCUACUUCUACUUCUUCUACUUCACUACUUCAAUUCUUCUUCUACUUCUACUUCACUACUUCUUGUACUUCACUACUUCAAUUCUUCUACUUCUUCUACUUCUACUUCACUACUUCUACUUCACUACUUCUUCUACUCCACUACUUCAAUUCUUCUUCUACUUCUACUUCUUCUACUUCACUACUUCAAUUCUUCUUCUCCUACUUCUACUUCUUCUACUUCACUACUUCAAUUCUUCUUCUACUUCUACUUCACUACUUCUUCUACUCCACUACUUCAAUUCUUCUUCUACUUCACUACUUCCACUUUGUUCUAAGCUCACUAGAAACUUAGAGGGGGGAAGGGAAACGCUUGACUCUAUCAACGAAGCAUCCUACCGUGUCACAAGAGGGGGGGGUGCUCGGUGGUUCCCGCCUCUUCACAAGCUCGUGUCUCCAUUCUGCUUGAACUCGGAUAAAAUGUUGAGGGUCAUGUCCUCGCUCUUGGACUGCAAGUUUGCCUCACUCCUCCGGGAGGCCUUCCGGGUGGCUCUGGAGAGCCUCCUCCUGAAAGUGUCUCCCGCCAGGAAGUAG
Molecule: long non-coding RNA, 1410 nt
Filed under: Vulpes vulpes (red fox)
Lineage: Eukaryota; Metazoa; Chordata; Mammalia; Carnivora; Canidae
Description: lncRNA (ENSVVUG00000010736.1)
Source: RNAcentral